CAUCCAACAGUUUUUUUUUGUUGUUGAUAUAAAAGCUAGCUAAGUGCAUUCAGAAACAUUUUCACACCAAAAAGGAUGCAAGAAAGGAACUAAGAAUUGACUAACUACUAUUCUGCCAGCAGCACAAACGAGGACGACACUUUUGUAUGAUCCUCUCAAGCUUUGUCAGGAUGGAUGUGGAGCGUCACUGCACAGCUAUUUUCAGGUCUCUCCAGAGAUGUUCCACUGGGUUCAAGUUCGGGCUCUGGCUGGGCAACUCAAGGACAUUCAGAGACUUGUCCGGAAGCCACUCCUGCGUUGUCUAGGCUGUGUGCGUAGGGUCGUUGUCCUGUUGGAAAGUGAACCUUCGCCCCAGUCUGAGGUCCUGAGCGCUCCCGAGCAAGUUCACAUCAAGGAUCUCUCUGUACUUUGCUCUGUUAAUCUUUCCCUCAAUCCUGAAUAGUCUCCCAGUCCCUGCCGCUGAAUAAAUCCCCACAGCAUGAUGCUGCUACCACCAUGCUUCACCAUAGGGAUGGUGCCAGGUUCCCUUCAGAUGUGAUGCUUGGCAUUCAGGCCAAAUAAUUAAAUCUUGGUUUCAUCAGA
Oncorhynchus keta (chum salmon) is the source of this 582-nucleotide long non-coding RNA. RefSeq lists it as uncharacterized. Lineage: Eukaryota; Metazoa; Chordata; Actinopteri; Salmoniformes; Salmonidae. The record is from RefSeq and is a predicted model, not a curated record. The transcript has 2 exons.